Molecule: ribosomal RNA, 253 nt
Filed under: uncultured bacterium
Lineage: Bacteria
Description: partial 16S ribosomal RNA
Rfam family: Bacterial small subunit ribosomal RNA
Source: RNAcentral
UACGAAGGGGGCUAGCGUUGCUCGGAAUCACUGGGCGUAAAGGGCGCGUAGGCGGCCGAUCAAGUCGGGGGUGAAAGCCUGUGGCUCAACCACAGAAUUGCCUUCGAUACUGGUUGGCUUGAGACCGGAAGAGGUAAGUGGAACUGCGAGUGUAGAGGUGAAGUUCGUAGAUAUUCGCAAGAACACCAGUGGCGAAGGCGGCUUACUGGUCCGGUUCUGACGCUGAGGCGCGAAAGCGUGGGGAGCAAACAGG